RNAcentral lists this long non-coding RNA (434 nucleotides) under Mytilus galloprovincialis (Mediterranean mussel). The record is from RNAcentral. Lineage: Eukaryota; Metazoa; Mollusca; Bivalvia; Mytilida; Mytilidae.
AAAAGUAGUAUGAAUAACAACAGUCAUAAAAAGCAUAACUUUUUGUUGGUUGGAAAUGUCCUUCUGGGGGGAUUCUCUGUUUUUUCCACCUAAAAACCCCCGAAAAUCCGCAUAUUGUACUUUCAUACUUUUUGAGGGUUAAAUUAACUAUUGAUCACACAUAUCAUAAUAUAUGUAAAUCGAGAUAUUGAUCAAAAAGCAUUUUUAUUUUUUGUUUUUAUAGUAAGUUUUAUUCUGUCGGCACUUUUUGAAAUUGGCCCUUCUGUGAAAAAAAUCCCCGGCAAAUUGGCCCUUCCUCUUUAUCUAUAAUACUAAAAUUACGAGGUCCAAUUUGUCAGCCGUCAUCACGUAAAAACGACGAAUCAAAGAAUUUAACUUUAUAUACAACUAAUAUAGUACACAGGUGUAGAUUAAAAAUUACACCACUCCAGGCC